UAAUACGAGGGGUGCAAGCGUUAUUCGGAAUGAUUGGGCGUAAAGAGUGCGUAGGCGGUGCGUUAAGUCUAUUGUUAAAUUCCUUGGCCUAACUGAGGACUCGCAAUGGAUACUGGCGUGCUAGAGGAUGGAAGAGAGAAGUGGAAUUCUCGGAGUAGCGGUAAAAUGCUUAGAUCCCGAGAGGAACACCAAUGGCGAAGGCAGCUUCUUGGUCCAUUCCUGACGCUGAGGUACGAAAGCGUGGGGAGCAAACAGGAUUAGAUACCCUGGUAGUCCACGCUGUAAACGAUAAUCACUAGACGUCAGUCUGGCUUUGCCGGAGUGGUGUCGUAGCUAACGCGUUAAGUGAUUCGCCUGGGAAGUACGGUCGCAAGAUUA
Molecule: ribosomal RNA, 378 nt
Filed under: uncultured bacterium
Lineage: Bacteria
Description: bacterial SSU rRNA
Rfam family: Bacterial small subunit ribosomal RNA
Source: RNAcentral